GACGUAGGGGGCGAGCGUUGUCCGGAUUUACUGGGCGUAAAGCGCGCGUAGGCGGUCUGUUAAGUCAGAAGUGAAAUCUCCAGGGCUCAACCCGGAAACUGCUUUUGAUACUGAUAGACUUGAGUGUCGGAGAGGUAACUGGAAUUCCUGGUGUAGCGGUGACAUGCAUUGAUAUCAGGAGGAACACCCAUGGCGAAGGCAGGUUACUGGCCGACAACUGACGCUGAGGCGCGAAAGCGUGGGUAGCAAACAGA
RNAcentral lists this ribosomal RNA (254 nucleotides) under uncultured bacterium. RNAcentral's name for it is "partial 16S ribosomal RNA". It matches the Rfam family "Bacterial small subunit ribosomal RNA", at positions 524 to 776 of the family's 1533-position model. The record is from RNAcentral.